This is a non-coding RNA of Biomphalaria pfeifferi, 245 nucleotides long. Lineage: Eukaryota; Metazoa; Mollusca; Gastropoda; Planorbidae. The record is from the annotation of a GenBank genome assembly.
UUUCUAUUUCCGGUCCGAAGCCUAGGUAAUUUUUAGAAUUUAAAUACAUAUAUAUUUAAAAUCCAAAACUAUCUCAACGAAGAAGACUAAAAUUAAUAAAUAAACAUCAUAUUUUAGCAUUUCUUUGUAUGUUUUUAAAUAUUAGAUGUAUAUUUUAACAUACUUCGUUAGCUAAUAUAUGUUUCUUGAGCUCCGUAGAAUGUAAAUAAAACACACUUUUUAUAGUUUCAGCUGACAACAGCGAU